ACGCACGCUGGCGGCGUGCUUAACACAUGCCAGUCGCACGGAAAGGCCCUGCUUGCCGGGUACUCGAGUGGCGAACGGGUGAGUAACACGUGGGUGAUCUGCCCUGCACUUCGGGAUAAGCUUGGGAAACUGGGUCUAAUACCGGAUAGGACCGCACUUUAGUGUGUGUGGUGGAAAGUUUUUUCGGUGUAGGAUGAGCUCGCGGCCUAUCAGCUUGUUGGUGGGGUAAUGGCCUACCAAGGCGGCGACGGGUAGCCGGCCUGAGAGGGUGUACGGCCACAUUGGGACUGAGAUACGGCCCAGACUCCUACGGGAGGCAGCAGUGGGGAAUAUUGCACAAUGGGCGCAAGCCUGAUGCAGCGACGCCGCGUGGGGGAUGAAGGCCUUCGGGUUGGAAACUCCUUUCGCUAGGGACGAAGCUUUUUGUGACGGUACCUAGAUAAGAAGCACCGGCUAACUACGUG
RNAcentral lists this ribosomal RNA (464 nucleotides) under uncultured bacterium. RNAcentral's name for it is "partial 16S ribosomal RNA". It matches the Rfam family "Bacterial small subunit ribosomal RNA", at positions 29 to 507 of the family's 1533-position model. The record is from RNAcentral.